RNAcentral lists this ribosomal RNA (778 nucleotides) under uncultured Neocallimastigales. RNAcentral's name for it is "partial large subunit ribosomal RNA". It matches the Rfam family "Eukaryotic large subunit ribosomal RNA", at positions 24 to 616 of the family's 3401-position model. The record is from RNAcentral. Lineage: Eukaryota; Fungi; Neocallimastigomycota; Neocallimastigomycetes; Neocallimastigales.
UACGACUACAUAUCAGGCAUAUCAAUAAGCGGAGGAAAAGAAACUAACUAGGAUUCCCUCAGUAACGGCGAGUGAAGCGGGAAGAGCUCAAAUUUGAAAUCUUCAAGGUUCUACCUUGACGAAUUGUAGUUUAAAGAAGUGUUUUCUGUUGGAGUUUUGGUAAAAGUUCUUUGGAAUAGGACAUCAUAGAGGGUGAGAAUCCCGUAUUUGACCAUUAUUUUCAGCUGUGUGAUACACUUUCAAAGAGUCGGAUUGUUUGGGAAUGCAGUCCAAAAUGGGUGGUAAAUUUCAUCUAAAGCUAAAUAUUGGCGAGAGACCGAUAGCGAACAAGUACCGUGAGGGAAAGAUGAAAAGAACUUUGAAAAGAGAGUUAAACAGUACGUGAAAUUGUCAAAAGGGAAGCGUUUGACACCAGUGUUGUUUUCUCGAAAAUCAAUUAAAAAGAGUUGGAUUUUGUGUUGUAUUGACCUUAACAGCUUGCUUCACUCUUUUCCAGCUUUUUUUAAUGCACUUUUCGUUUAACAAGUCAACAUCAGUUUCUUUUGUUGUAAAAGGGUCAUUGGAAGGUGGCUUUCUCUUCGGAGAAAGUGUUUAUAGCCUUUGAUCUCUGCAAUCGGAGAGACUGAGGUCUGCAGCGUAGAUCCUUCGGGGUUAGAUACAUUUGUGCUAAGCUAUCAGCCUUUCAUAGACAACUUGUUGACUAUGAUUUAGUCAUUGUAGCUUACCUCGCUUAUGCUAUUUUACCUACGCUUAGGAUGUUGAGCGCAUGUCUCUCUCU